RNAcentral lists this ribosomal RNA (397 nucleotides) under uncultured bacterium. RNAcentral describes it as "partial 16S ribosomal RNA". It matches the Rfam family "Bacterial small subunit ribosomal RNA", at positions 523 to 918 of the family's 1533-position model. The record is from RNAcentral.
AUACGUAGGUGACAAGCGUUAUCCGGAUUUACUGGGCGUAAAGGGCGUGUAGGCGGUCUUGCAAGUCAGAAGUGAAAUUCCUGAGCUCAACUCGGGCGCUGCUUCUGAAACUGCAGGACUUGAGUGCUGGAGGGGAUAGCGGAAUUCCUAGUGGAGCGGUAAAAUGCGCAGAUAUUAGGAAGAACACCGGUGGCGAAGGCGGCUAUCUGGGCAGUAACUGACGCUGAGGCGCGAAAGCGUGGGGAGAAAACAGGAUUAGAUACCCUGGUGGUCCACGCCGUAAACGAUGAAUACUAGGUGUAGGGGGUAUCGACCCCCUCUGUGCCGCAGUUAACACAAUAAGUAUUCCGCCUGGGGAGUACGGCCGCAAGGUUGAAACUCAAAUGAAUUGACGGGG